RNAcentral lists this ribosomal RNA (636 nucleotides) under Agromyces sp. So3Ps_1886. RNAcentral's name for it is "bacterial SSU rRNA". It matches the Rfam family "Bacterial small subunit ribosomal RNA", at positions 383 to 1024 of the family's 1533-position model. The record is from RNAcentral. Lineage: Bacteria; Bacillati; Actinomycetota; Actinomycetes; Micrococcales; Microbacteriaceae.
CUGAUGCAGCAACGCCGCGUGAGGGAUGACGGCCUUCGGGUUGUAAACCUCUUUUAGUAGGGAAGAAGGGCUUCGGCUUGACGGUACCUGCAGAAAAAGCACCGGCUAACUACGUGCCAGCAGCCGCGGUAAUACGUAGGGUGCGAGCGUUGUCCGGAAUUAUUGGGCGUAAAGAGCUCGUAGGCGGUUUGUCACGUCUGCUGUGAAAUCCCGAGGCUCAACCUCGGGCCUGCAGUGGGUACGGGCAGACUGGAGUGCGGUAGGGGAGAAUGGAAUUCCUGGUGUAGCGGUGGAAUGCGCAGAUAUCAGGAGGAACACCGAUGGCGAAGGCAGUUCUCUGGGCCGUAACUGACGCUGAGGAGCGAAAGCGUGGGGAGCGAACAGGAUUAGAUACCCUGGUAGUCCACGCCGUAAACGUUGGGCGCUAGAUGUGGGGACCUUUCCACGGUUUCCGUGUCGUAGCUAACGCAUUAAGCGCCCCGCCUGGGGAGUACGGCCGCAAGGCUAAAACUCAAAGGAAUUGACGGGGGCCCGCACAAGCGGCGGAGCAUGCGGAUUAAUUCGAUGCAACGCGAAGAACCUUACCAAGGCUUGACAUAACCGAGAACGCCGCAGAAAUGUGGAACUCUUUGGACA